This 743-nucleotide ribosomal RNA is filed under the name uncultured bacterium. RNAcentral's name for it is "bacterial SSU rRNA". It matches the Rfam family "Bacterial small subunit ribosomal RNA", at positions 94 to 823 of the family's 1533-position model. The record is from RNAcentral.
AGCGGCGGAUGGGUGAGUAACACGUGGGGAACCUGCCCCUAAGUCUGGGAUACCAUUUGGAAACAGGUGCUAAUACCGGAUAAUAAAGCAGAUCGCAUGGUCAGCUUUUGAAAGGCGGCGUAAGCUGUCGCUAAGGGGUGGCCCCGCGGUGCAUUAGCUAGUUGGUAAGGUAACGGCUUACCAAGGCGACGAUGCAUAGCCGAGUUGAGAGACUGAUCGGCCACAUUGGGACUGAGACACGGCCCAAACUCCUACGGGAGGCAGCAGUAGGGAAUCUUCCACAAUGGACGCAAGACUGAUGGAGCAACGCCGCGUGAGUGAAGAAGGUUUUCGGAUCGUAAAGCUCUGUUGUUGGUGAAGAAGGAUAGAGGUAGUAACUGGCCUUUAUUUGACGGUAAUCAACCAGAAAGUCACGGCUAACUACGUGCCAGCAGCCGCGGUAACACGUAGGUGGCAAGCGUUGUCCGGAUUUAUUGGGCGUAAAGCGAGCGCAGGCGGAAAAAUAAGUCUAAUGUGAAAGCCCUCGGCUUAACCGAGGAACUGCAUCGGAAACUGUUUUUCUUGAGUGCAGAAGAGGAGAGUGGAACUCCAUGUGUAGCGGUGGAAUGCGUAGAUAUAUGGAAGAACACCAGUGGCGAAGGCGGCUCUCUGGUCUGCAACUGACGCUGAGGCUCGAAAGCAUGGGUAGCGAACAGGAUUAGAUACCCUGGUAGUCCAUGCCGUAAACGAUGAGUGCUAAGUGU